This 454-nucleotide long non-coding RNA is filed under the name Nicotiana benthamiana. Its description in RNAcentral is "long non-coding RNA (NBEN_LNC037737)". Lineage: Eukaryota; Viridiplantae; Streptophyta; Magnoliopsida; Solanales; Solanaceae. The record is from RNAcentral.
AUGCAUUUGAGUACUUCUUCAAUGGAAGUCCAGGAAUGGGGCAGCGGCGACCUAAUUUAGAUGAUUUAAUGGGGCCUGGGCUGCAACAGUUGAUUGAGCAGCUCAGUAUGAAUGAUAGGCAGGGACCACCCCCGGCACCUCGUUCCGCAAUAGAUGCUUUGCCUACUAUCAAGAUCACACAGAGGCACCUCAACACGGAUUCUCAGUGCCCGGUUUGUCAAGAUAACUUUGAAUUGGGUUCUGAAGCAAGGCAGAUGCCAUGCAAGCAUACCACCCCCGGCACCUCGUUCCUCAAUAGAUGCUUUGCCUACUGUCAAGAUCACACACAGGCACCUCAACACGGAUUCUCAGUGCCCGGUUUGUCAAGAUAACUUUGAAUUGGGUUCUGAAGCAAGGCAGAUGCCAUGCAAGCAUAUUUACCAUGCAGAUUGUAUUGUACCUUGGCUGGUUCGGC